AACGAACGCUGGCGGCAUGCCUAACACAUGCAAGUCGAACGAGACCUUCGGGUCUAGUGGCGCACGGGUGCGUAACGCGUGGGAACCUGCCCUUAGGUUCGGAAUAACUCCCCGAAAGGGGUGCUAAUACCGGAUAAUGUCUUCGGACCAAAGAUUUAUCGCCUUUGGGUGGGCCCGCGUUGGAUUAGCUAGUUGGUAGUGUAAAAGCCUACCAAGGCGACGAUCCAUAGCUGGUCUGAGAGGAUGAUCAGCCACACUGGGACUGAGACACGGCCCAGACUCCUACGGGAGGCAGCAGUGGGGAAUAUUGGACAAUGGGCGAAAGCCUGAUCCAGCAAUGCCGCGUGAGUGAUGAAGGCCUUAGGGUUGUAAAGCUCUUUUACACGGGAUGAUAAUGACAGUACCGGGAGAAUAAGCACCGGCUAACUCCGUG
Molecule: ribosomal RNA, 433 nt
Filed under: uncultured bacterium
Lineage: Bacteria
Description: partial 16S ribosomal RNA
Rfam family: Bacterial small subunit ribosomal RNA
Source: RNAcentral